Long non-coding RNA from Neoarius graeffei (lesser salmon catfish), 5541 nucleotides. RefSeq lists it as uncharacterized. NCBI's taxonomy places the organism in Eukaryota, Metazoa, Chordata, Actinopteri, Siluriformes, Ariidae. The transcript is spliced from 2 exons. The record is from RefSeq and is a predicted model, not a curated record.
CACACACACACACAUUCGACAGACACAAUAGCCGUUUAGAGAGAUUAUAAUUUGUUAUAAAAGGUGUUUGUAAUCUUUCAUCUUUGGCGAGAAUACUGUGAUUAAACAGCAGUGAAACCGAUCUCUGGUUCUCUGUUUUUUUGCGGUGUUCCGUCCCAGAAUUCUGCAGGUGGUACGAGGGCGGGGGUCCCGAGAAGUAAGUUGACCGUUUCCGACUGGGUGAACCCCAACAAUUUGGUGGCUCAUACGGGGAUUACUAAUCAGGUGAGUAAAUUAUUUUAAUUGAUUAAUUUGAUUGGUUAGACGUCCGCUUGGUUGGUAGUAAUAGAAAAAGAAAAACCCAGUUGUUUAUUAUUUUGGUUAUGUUAUUGGUAAUCCUCGUGUAGAGGCACGGGAUGUUUUUAUUUUGGGGAUCCUCGUAGAUUUUUGUUUACGGGAUGUUUCUUGGUGAACCUCGUGGAAGAGCCACGGGAAGAUUGGUUAAACCUCGUGUAAAAGCACGGGAAGGUGACCCUCGUGAAGUGAAGGAGCUGUCACGGGAAGAGCGCGCUUUUUAUGUUAAACCCAAAAUAAUUACCCUAAUUAAUCUCGGGACUGAUUCCUUCGUGCCACCAUGGGGGGAAAAAUUGUAUUGUAUUAAAAAUUGUAUUGUAUUAAGGUACCCGGACCCCGAGAAAAAACCCACGGGAUUGGAUGAAUUGCUGUGGUUUAGCAUUCUACACAAAUUCUAGACAAUUUGGCCGGCUCAGUUUUGAUUUAUCCUCAUUCAGGUAUUUGCAAUCUCUAGGAGCUGUGUAAUGUAUCUUUAAUUGUUAUAGCAUUUAUAUAAGGCAUUACUGGAUAUGCACAAAAUAAUGAAACAACAAAUCAGUACUCUGGACAUGAACAGUCAGAACUGUUCUUGGUGUGCAUAAAUGUCAAACCUUUGGUCAAUCAAACCUGUAUAACCAACUUUAGUCCUUAUUUCCUUUAUAAGAUCCUUAUAGGAUGCAAAUUAAAAUGAUUUACCUAAAAUUUGAAUGAUAAUUAACAAUUAUAUAUCCCAGGUACUUUUUAUUCAAUAUUAAUAACAAUAAACUUUAAGAAUGAAUACAAAGCUUCAAUGUUUGACAAAAAACCACGAAGUGUAAAUGUUAUGUGCUCUUUUAUCAUCGUGGGAAUUGAUUAUAGCUCUAAAUAAAUAUUGAAGUUUUUUUCGUUAAAAAGAAUCCGUAUAACUUUAUUUGUACGCCCGUAUACUAUGUUUAUUGAAUCAAAUCCGUAAAAAAUACGGACAUUCUGUAUAUUGUGCAUUUUAAUCUCAACGAAAGCUUCACUGAAUCGAUUCUUUAGAACAAACUCGCAUGCGUGUGAAUCAAUUUACUUGAUUCACUCUUGAUUCUUGACUCAGAAACUACGGAAAUCUUAUUUGUAUUCCUGUUUUCAAAUUGUAAACAAUAAUCACACUUCAUGCUGCAUGAAAUUAAAGUAUGAACUUUCCUCAAACCAUUACGUGUGCAUGAACUCAACAAAUGCAGUCCAUGCGUCUGUAUCGAUUCGCUCGAUCGAGUCAUUUAUGUUUCGUCCCGAAAAAGAUCCGAAUCGUUUGUGAAUCUCAUCACUGUUAGAAAUCCAAGGGAAGAGAUCCUCUUCCCUUAACAUCAUCAGAGGAAAAAUCUGCUUCUUAAUCAAUUAGUUUCAGCGUUUGUACCUCUCUCUCUGGAUGUCAUCCUACAGUCUCUUCUCGAGCAAGGCGUGGUGAGAUCGUGCACCAGCUUGUACAAUACACCUGUCAAUCCAGUACCUAAACCCGAUGGUACCUGGCGUUUUACACAAGAUUUACGUAAGAUUCAUGAAUUGAUUGUUUCUUCUGUAAUGUCACAGGUUCCUGUUCAUCAUUGCUGUUUUUCCAUUAAUGAUCUCUGUUCUGCCUUUUUUUUCACGCACAUGAGGAGAUAGCGUUUGGACUCAGGGUUUCAUUUGACUCUCCUGCUGGUUUUUUUUCAGCUGUAAUUCAUAACGUGCUCUGUGACCUUCUCCCUCCCUCAGGACUAUGUGGUCUGUGUGUUCUGGUAUCUGCUGAGUCACCAGAAAUCGGCCAAGACACUGACACUUGCGCCUGCUUUAAGGUUUUCAGGACCAAGCAGCAAUAUUGCAUGGACACUUAAGUAUUUGAACUUUUGAAGUUUUGAACUUCCUCAAGGCUGUCAUUCUAGACACAAAACGCCCUGCAACUAAACAUGCACUGAUGUCUUUUCUGGGUCAGAAAAUGGAUCCCUGACUGCUCUUUAUAUAACAAGCUUCUCCGUUCUGCAAUCUCUCAUCACGAUCCACUGCAACAUCCUUUGACCUGGACUGACGCUAUGGUGGUCGCUUAUCACUCCCUCAAAAGCACCCUUCGAUCACUUCAAGCCCUUCCACCUCUAUGCCUGUGAACACCAAGGCACAGCCUCUGGGGAGCAUGGGGGGGGAUUGCAGCAUUGUGCAUUUUUAUCCAAAACAUUAGACAUUGUUGCUCAAGGCUUACCUGCGUGUCUGGGGGCUGUCUCCACAUGUGCUUUGAUGGUUUUAGAUGCGGAAAAAUUGGUUUUGUCUCACCCACUGAUCUUGCACUCGUCACAUCAAGUUAAACAGGUGUUGCAAAAUUUACAGACCCAUUAAAUUAAUUUAUCAGUAAUUUAAUUGAUAAUUAAAUUAACAUAUGACUGUUUAUUCUCUGUUCUACUAACAAUCUCGAAAUUCGUGUCACAUCCUCUUUUGAUAAUGUAGGUCGCGCUCUCGCACGCCUCCUUAAUUCUCGGGAUGAUACUUGGGAUGACAUUGAUAUUGUCUGUCUAAAAAUCGUACAUACUACUAGUAUCAGAUCUGAUCUCUCCUCCAGCCCUCUAGGGAUGGGGGAAGUACUCUUUGUCGAUGGUUCUUGUUCUAAACGGUUCUUGUUUUAUAAUUUAUGAUAUUUAUCAUACCUCUGUGGUUAUUCUGUGUGUUCAAUCAAUAUCAGUCUGAUAUUCUGCAUGAGACAUAUGCUCUUCCUUUAUCAUUUGAUUUUUGUCAUCUUGAUUGUGGACAAAUUCUCUAAAUGGGUAGAAGUUUUUUUCCUGUUUUCGAGAGAACACGAAGGUAGUUACUCGUUUUAAUACCUAGUUAUAAUAAUAAUAAUGAUACAUUUUAUUUACAAGUGCCUUUCAAGGUACCCAAGGACACUGGACAGUAAAAAAGAAAAACAAACAAUAAAAGCAGAACAAUAAAAUAACAAUAAAAUAAUAAGAAAUCAAUAAUAAUUAUUGUUAUAGUUAUGGGGUUUCAAAUGCCAUAGACUCAGACAAAGGUACCCCUUUCACCUCAAAAGUCACACAAAACCUUUGUAAGUAUCUCUAAACUAAACUGGUGUUUUCACAUUCCUCAAUCCUCUGGUAUCGUAGAACGUACUAAUCGAACAUUGAAAGACAAAUUAAUUAAGGUCAUGCAGGCCACAGGUUUGGUUCUGUAAUCCAUAAUUCAUUCUGGCUGAAAUUCGUGUGACACCAAGAAAUUAUUUUUGGAAGACUUUUCCCUCUCCCUUGGAAGAAGGGAACUCUGGCUCCGGGUACCUCUGAUUUGAAAAUGCAUAUGGAUGAGUAUUCUGCAGCCCUUAUAGAUAAGUUGCAUAAAAUUUGUACCAAGGUCAAUAGUACAAUAUUAUCUCCACCACACACCCCUUCCAAGUUGGAGACAAGUGCUGGUGUGACUUUUUAAAGUAACGAUUUGGACAAUUGGGAAAACAAUAUAGUGGGCCUGCAGACAUAGUCGCCAUUACUUCUACUGCUGUUUUAACUGAUCUUUUUCCACAGUGGAUCCAUGCCACGCGAUUGAAGAAGGCUCCAUAACAAAGUUGUGUUACAAUGACAAGUUUGCUACUAACGUUUUCUCUGUGUCCCGAGAAUCUCUGUUCUCUCUCUCUGUCUCUCUAUUUCUGAGCUCUACACAGAUUCGACUGAGAAUCCUCAAGACAUUGUGAACAAAGAGGGGAAGAGAGCUUGCGCCCUGUUUGGAACCAAUCAUCCUCACUACAACCAUGACAGUCCUCAUCACGGGUUUCGUGACUUCAUUGUUGCUCGGGACAGGGCUACCCGCCUGAGCCUUCGUGACUGCUUCAUCUUUGCUCGGGGCAGGGUUACCCGCCUGAGCCUUCUGGACCACUUCAUUGCUCGGAGCAGGGUUACCCGCUCGAGCUGGACAACAUCUUCUGGCAAUUCGCUAACUGGACUGCACAAGCGCACACCACAUGAAUGUGUUAUGUCUUUCAUCUGAUGCCAUCUUCUACUAUUAUUACACAUCUCUAUGCUCUGAAACUCUGUAUUCUUACAGGACUCUGUUUUCACUAUAGGUUGAUAUGCCUUCUAAUUUCAUUUUCCCUCACUGUUUUAGAACAAAUUACUCUGAAGGAAGUAGCGUGUAUUUGGGACGAAUUAAGAGGUUUUGAGUUUCUCUAAGCUCUGGUGAGGUGGGACGAGGGUUGAUCGGGCAUGCCCACCCUCUGAGCACCAAUAUACGUCAAGAAGGGCAAAGAUUAACUCAAGAUUAAUUCUCGAUGUAAUCACAUAUAUGAUCAUGAGGUGAUAAUGAUCAAAUAUGAUCCUAGGAUUUGAUAAUAGUGAUACUAUUAUCGAAGGGGGGGAUUGUUGGGUUCAUAUAAGUAUUAUUCUUGACCAAGAAGGCAGUAAUAUAUUUGUGACAAAAUUAAGGAUUAAUUUCUGUCAGUUAAAAUGACCUUAUGUCUCGGCUGGACAUUGUUUGGGAACAUUUUGUUUAUUUUGAUAUGAAAUGUGUAUUUUUGAUAUGAGAUGUGUCUGAAUGGCGACAGGGUCUGCGAUGAUAUCACACACACUCACAAUGGCCUUUGAUAUCACACACAACCAUAGCCAACGUGUAUUGGGAAUUAAAAGUUAGAUCUAAGAUGCAUUCAAUGAUUUAAGUUAGUUUUAUAGUUUUAAGUUAGUUUUAUAAUUACAGAAUAUAAUUUAGGGUUGUUAAGACCUUAUGAUUCUAAUGUUAAGACUUCAUGAGUUUAAUCCUGAAUCCUGUUUGACCUUUCUCUGGUGAAGUAGCAUUUCUUUGUUUUGCCAGACAUAUUCUUUGUUUAUGUUUCGUAUGACUGUCUUUGUUUAGGUUUGUUCUUAUUUACUUAUAACAUAUCUUUGUUGAAAAAUUCCGUAUGUACGUAAGCAAUGACCUUUAAAAUCUGUUUGACCUGCCCCAAGAUCAAGCUGCUCACUUGCUCGCAAGUCAACCACACACACAUACAGCUGAACAUUCCAUCAGAACAGUGAUGUAAUUAAAAUGUGACCUGCUCACACACACACACACACACACAUAGACACAGAUAUCAAAAUGAUGUCACUUACUCACACCCUCCCAUAGACACACACACACACACACCCCUCUCUGAGGUCACAUACAAACACACACACACACAUUCGACAGACACAAUAGCCAUUUAGAGAGAUUAUAAUUUGUCAUAAAAGGUGUUUGUAAUCUUUCAUCUUCGGCGAGAAUACUGUGAUUAAACAGCAGUGAAACUGA